UGCGACCUACGGGGGGCAGCAGUGGGGAAUCUUCCGCAAUGGGCGCAAGCCUGACGGAGCAAUGCCGCGUGAACGAAGAAGGUCUUCGGAUUGUAAAGUUCUGUCCUUAUCGAAGAGAGGGUAUAGAGUGAAAAAUGAUAUACUAGGACGGUAGAUGAGGAGGAAGCCCCGGCUGACUACGUGCCAGCAGCCGCGGUAAUACGUAGGUGGCAAGCGUUGUCCGGAUUUACUGGGUGUAAAGGGCGUGUAGCAGGGCUGACAAGUCAGAUGUGAAAUCCGGGGGCUCAACCCCCGAACUGCAUUUG
This 305-nucleotide ribosomal RNA is filed under the name uncultured bacterium. Its description in RNAcentral is "bacterial SSU rRNA". It matches the Rfam family "Bacterial small subunit ribosomal RNA", at positions 333 to 629 of the family's 1533-position model. The record is from RNAcentral.